AUUCAAAAGAGUAGGUAUGGAACUACCAUAUAACCUGGUUAUCCCACUCUUGGUAUCUUAGAUAAAGAACUAAAAUCUGCAUUUUAUAGUGAUACAUGUAUGGAUACCAAUAUUUUUAGCAGCACAAUUCAAUAGCCAGGUUAUGGAACCAGCCUGUGUGCUUCUCAACCAACAAAUGGAUAAAGUAAAUAUGAUACACACAAGCGGAAGUUUUACUCAGCCUUAAAGAAGAGUGAAAUUAUCAUUUGCUGAUACAUGGGUAGAACUGGAGAAUAUCAUGCUAAAUAAUAAACCAGACUCAGGAAGUCAGGGUGAAUGUUUUUUUCUCAUUUGCAGAAGCUCAAGAGAGAAAAUCAGGAAUAAACAAAAAGUGGGUAUCAUGAAAAAUAGCAGAGAAGACCAACAGAGUAAUGGAAGGGGGGAAUCACGAGGGAAGGAGGAGGAAGGGCAUGGGGAAGUACUGGGGAAUGCAAUCUAGCAAAUGAUGCUGUGUUCACGUACAGAUGUCACACACAGACACACACACGCACAUGUAUGUAUAACAUGUACUGGUUAAUAAUAACAGGGAGAUCAGUGGAGUAAGCGGAUCAGGGAGAGGGAGUCGGGGGGUGGGUAAAGGGAAGGUACAGGGAAAGCAGAUUGAGCCAAUUAUGUGCAUGAAUGAAUAUGACAUGAAUCCCACUCUUAUGUAUAAUCAUAAUGCAUGAAAAUAAGUAUUUAAAAAUUAAGGACUACUUGCCAUCCCAUCAAGUUUAUCCCAAGAAUGCAAGGUUAGUUUCACAUUCAAGAAUCUCCUAAUGUAAUGAACCAUGAAGCCACAAAACAUUUUUUAAAUACCAGAUCUUGUAUGUCUUCAUGAUGAUAAACACUCAAAAGUAAGAAAGGUAAGUU
This 891-nucleotide long non-coding RNA is filed under the name Marmota monax (woodchuck). The record is from RNAcentral. Lineage: Eukaryota; Metazoa; Chordata; Mammalia; Rodentia; Sciuridae.